This 1355-nucleotide ribosomal RNA is filed under the name uncultured bacterium. Its description in RNAcentral is "bacterial SSU rRNA". It matches the Rfam family "Bacterial small subunit ribosomal RNA", at positions 28 to 1381 of the family's 1533-position model. The record is from RNAcentral.
AUUGAACGCUGGCGGCAGGCUUAACACAUGCAAGUCGAACGAUGAUUAUCUAGCUUGCUAGAUAUGAUUAGUGGCGGACGGGUGAGUAACAUUUAGGAAUCUGCCUAGUAGUGGGGGAUAGCUCGGGGAAACUCGAAUUAAUACCGCAUACGACCUACGGGUGGAAGGGGGCGCAAGCUCUUGCUAUUAGAUGAGCCUAAAUCAGAUUAGCUAGUUGGUGGGGUAAAGGCCCACCAAGGCGACGAUCUGUAACUGGUCUGAGAGGAUGAUCAGUCACACCGGAACUGAGACACGGUCCGGACUCCUACGGGAGGCAGCAGUGGGGAAUAUUGGACAAUGGGGGCAACCCUGAUCCAGCCAUGCCGCGUGCGUGAAGAAGGCCUUUUGGUUGUAAAGCACUUUAAGCAGGGAGGAGAGGCUAAUGGUUAAUACCCAUUAGAUUAGACGUUACCUGCAGAAUAAGCACCGGCUAACUCUGUGCCAGCAGCCGCGGUAAUACAGAGGGUGCGAGCGUUAAUCGGAAUUACUGGGCGUAAAGCGAGUGUAGGUGGCUCAUUAAGUCACAUGUGAAAUCCCCGGGCUUAACCUGGGAACUGCAUGUGAUACUGGUGGUGCUAGAAUAUGUGAGAGGGAAGUAGAAUUCCAGGUGUAGCGGUGAAAUGCGUAGAGAUCUGGAGGAAUACCGAUGGCGAAGGCAGCUUCCUGGCAUAAUAUUGACACUGAGAUUCGAAAGCGUGGGUAGCAAACAGGAUUAGAUACCCUGGUAGUCCACGCCGUAAACGAUGUCUACUAGCCGUUGGGGUCCUUGAGACUUUAGUGGCGCAGUUAACGCGAUAAGUAGACCGCCUGGGGAGUACGGCCGCGAGGUUAAAACUCAAAUGAAUUGACGGGGGCCCGCACAAGCGGUGGAGCAUGUGGUUUAAUUCGAUGCAACGCGAAGAACCUUACCUGGUCUUGACAUAGUGAGAAUCCUGCAGAGAUGCGGGAGUGCCUUCGGGAAUUCACAUACAGGUGCUGCAUGGCUGUCGUCAGCUCGUGUCGUGAGAUGUUGGGUUAAGUCCCGCAACGAGCGCGACCCUUUUCCUUAUUUGCCAGCGGGUUAAGCCGGGAACUUUAAGGAUACUGCCAGUGACAAACUGGAGGAAGGCGGGGACGACGUCAAGUCAUCAUGGCCCUUACGACCAGGGCUACACACGUGCUACAAUGGUAGGUACAGAGGGUUGCUACACAGCGAUGUGAUGCUAAUCUCAAAAAGCCUAUCGUAGUCCGGAUUGGAGUCUGCAACUCGACUCCAUGAAGUCGGAAUCGCUAGUAAUCGCAGAUCAGAAUGCUGCGGUGAAUACGUUCCCGGGCCU